UUUAAAUGUAUCAUAAUUUUUCGUGUCUAAUUUUAAUCGUCCGUUUUAUUUUAUUUUUUUAUAAUUAAUAUUAUAUAAUUAUUAUAUGAUAAAAACAUAAAUAAUACUUUAUGUGUGACUUAUUUUUUUGGUUUUUUAAGUUUUUUAAAUAAGAUAUAUCAUUAAAGUUAGACAUGGAAACACAUCAGUUAUA
Non-coding RNA from Oryza nivara, 193 nucleotides. The record is from Rfam. NCBI's taxonomy places the organism in Eukaryota, Viridiplantae, Streptophyta, Magnoliopsida, Poales, Poaceae.